This 923-nucleotide ribosomal RNA is filed under the name Escherichia coli. RNAcentral describes it as "partial 23S ribosomal RNA". It matches the Rfam family "Bacterial large subunit ribosomal RNA", at positions 312 to 1239 of the family's 2925-position model. The record is from RNAcentral. Lineage: Bacteria; Pseudomonadati; Pseudomonadota; Gammaproteobacteria; Enterobacterales; Enterobacteriaceae.
CUGAAUCAGUGUGUGUGUUAGUGGAAGCGUCUGGAAAGGCGCGCGAUACAGGGUGACAGCCCCGUACACAAAAAUGCACAUACUGUGAGCUCGAUGAGUAGGGCGGGACACGUGGUAUCCUGUCUGAAUAUGGGGGGACCAUCCUCCAAGGCUAAAUACUCCUGACUGACCGAUAGUGAACCAGUACCGUGAGGGAAAGGCGAAAAGAACCCCGGCGAGGGGAGUGAAAAAGAACCUGAAACCGUGUACGUACAAGCAGUGGGAGCACGCUUCGGCGUGUGACUGCGUACCUUUUGUAUAAUGGGUCAGCGACUUAUAUUCUGUAGCAAGGUUAACCGAAUAGGGGAGCCGAAGGGAAACCGAGUCUUAACUGGGCGUUAAGUUGCAGGGUAUAGACCCGAAACCCGGUGAUCUAGCCAUGGGCAGGUUGAAGGUUGGGUAACACUAACUGGAGGACCGAACCGACUAAUGUUGAAAAAUUAGCGGAUGACUUGUGGCUGGGGGUGAAAGGCCAAUCAAACCGGGAGAUAGCUGGUUCUCCCCGAAAGCUAUUUAGGUAGCGCCUCGUGAAUUCAUCUCCGGGGGUAGAGCACUGUUUCGGCAAGGGGGUCAUCCCGACUUACCAACCCGAUGCAAACUGCGAAUACCGGAGAAUGUUAUCACGGGAGACACACGGCGGGUGCUAACGUCCGUCGUGAAGAGGGAAACAACCCAGACCGCCAGCUAAGGUCCCAAAGUCAUGGUUAAGUGGGAAACGAUGUGGGAAGGCCCAGACAGCCAGGAUGUUGGCUUAGAAGCAGCCAUCAUUUAAAGAAAGCGUAAUAGCUCACUGGUCGAGUCGGCCUGCGCGGAAGAUGUAACGGGGCUAAACCAUGCACCGAAGCUGCGGCAGCGACACUAUGUGUUGUUGGGUAGGGGAGCGU